This 484-nucleotide ribosomal RNA is filed under the name uncultured bacterium. RNAcentral describes it as "partial 16S ribosomal RNA". It matches the Rfam family "Bacterial small subunit ribosomal RNA", at positions 28 to 523 of the family's 1533-position model. The record is from RNAcentral.
GACGAACGCUGGCGGCGUGCUUAACACAUGCAAGUCGAACGAUGAAGCUGGAGCUUGCUCCGGUGGAUUAGUGGCGAACGGGUGAGUAACACGUGAGAAAUCUGCCCUUGACUCUGGGAUAACUGCGGGAAACUGUAGCUAAUACCGGAUAUUUUCCUUGGUGGGCAUCCACUGGGGAAGAAAGAAUUUCGGUCAAGGAUGAUCUCGCGGCCUAUCAGCUAGUUGGUGAGGUAAUGGCUCACCAAGGCGACGACGGGUAGCCGGCCUGAGAGGGUGACCGGCCACACUGGGACUGAGACACUGCCCAGACUCCUACGGGAGGCGGCAGUGGGGAAUAUUGCACAAUGGGCGCAAGCCUGAUGCAGCAACGCCGCGUGAGGGAUGAAGGCCUUCGGGUUGUAAACCUCUUUUAGCAGGGAAGAAGCGAAAGUGACGGUACCUGCAGAAAAAGCACCGGCUAACUACGUGCCAGCAGCCGCAGUAA